AAUUUUUCUUGGUGCCAAAGUAG
RNAcentral lists this non-coding RNA (23 nucleotides) under Rattus norvegicus (Norway rat). The record is from RNAcentral. Lineage: Eukaryota; Metazoa; Chordata; Mammalia; Rodentia; Muridae.